GCUGGGCUUGGUGGUGCACACCUGUAAUCCCAGAAGUUUGGGAGGCUGAGGCAGGAGGAUCUUGAGUUCAAAGCCAGCCUCAGCAACUUAGUGAGGCCCUAAGCAAUUUAGGGAGACCCUGCCUCUA
RNAcentral lists this small RNA (127 nucleotides) under Marmota monax (woodchuck). Lineage: Eukaryota; Metazoa; Chordata; Mammalia; Rodentia; Sciuridae. The record is from RNAcentral.